GACCAUCUAGCGACCUCCACCUUCACCAGGGACGAAGCGAAAGUGACGGNACCAUNNAGCNANNNNCACCGGCUAACUACGUGCCAGCAGCCGCGGUAAUACGUAGGGUGCGAGCGUUGUCCGGAAUUACUGGGCGUAAAGAGCUCGUAGGUGGUUUGUCGCGUCGUCUGUGAAAUUCUGGGGCUUAACUCCGGGCGUGCAGGCGAUACGGGCAUAACUUGAGUGCUGUAGGGGUAACUGGAAUUCCUGGUGUAGCGGUGAAAUGCGCAGAUAUCAGGAGGAACACCGAUGGCGAAGGCAGGUUACUGGGCAGUUACUGACGCUGAGGAGCGAAAGCAUGGGUAGCGAACAGGAUUAGAUACCCUGGUAGUCCAUGCCGUAAACGGUGGGCGCUAGGUGUGAGGGUCUUUCNACGACUUUCGUGCCGUAGCUAACGCAUUAAGCGCCCCGCCUGGGGAGUACGGCCGCAAGGCUAAAACUCAAAGGAAUUGACGGGGGCCCGCACAAGCGUCGGGAUGUGGAGGUCGCUAGAUGGUCGAUGCAACGCGAAGAACCUUACCUGGGCUUGACAUACACCGGACCGCUGCAGAGAUGUAGUUUCCCUUUGUGGCUGGUGUACAGGUGGUGCAUGGUUGUCGUCAGCUCGUGUCGUGAGAUGUUGGGUUAAGUCCCGCAACGAGCGCAACCCUUGUCUUAUGUUGCCAGCAUUUGGUUGGGGACUCAUGAGAGACUGCCGGGGUUAACUCGGAGGAAGGUGGGGANGACGUCAAAUCAUCAUGCCCCUUAUGUCCAGGGCUUCACACAUGCUACAAUGGUCGGUACAANGCGCNGCGACACUGUGUAGGUGGAGCGAAUCGCUAGANNGNCGGCCUUAGUUCGG
Molecule: ribosomal RNA, 880 nt
Filed under: insect metagenome
Description: bacterial SSU rRNA
Rfam family: Bacterial small subunit ribosomal RNA
Source: RNAcentral